RNAcentral lists this signal recognition particle RNA (265 nucleotides) under Chlorocebus sabaeus (green monkey). Its description in RNAcentral is "Metazoan signal recognition particle RNA". It matches the Rfam family "Metazoan signal recognition particle RNA". Rfam says of the family: The signal recognition particle (SRP) is a universally conserved ribonucleoprotein. It is involved in the co-translational targeting of proteins to membranes. The eukaryotic SRP consists of a 300-nucleotide 7S RNA and six proteins: SRPs 72, 68, 54, 19, 14, and 9. The record is from Rfam by way of RNAcentral. Lineage: Eukaryota; Metazoa; Chordata; Mammalia; Primates; Cercopithecidae.
GUCGGGCGUGGUGGUGGGCACCUGUAGUCCCAGUUGCUGGGGAGGCUGAGGCAGGAGAAUGGCAUUAACCUGGAAGGCAGAGCUUGCAGUCAGCCGAGAUUGUGCCACUGCGCUCCAGGCUAGGCGACAGAGGGAGACUCUGUCUCAAAANNNNNNNNNNUUUUGAGACAGAGUCUCCCUCUGUCGCCUAGCCUGGAGCGCAGUGGCACAAUCUCGGCUGACUGCAAGCUCUGCCUUCCAGGUUAAUGCCAUUCUCCUGCCUCAG